UCCGUAGGUGGAUCGGUCAGUCAGAGGUGAAAUCCUGCAGCUCAACUGUAGAACUGCCUUUGAUACUGCCGGUCUUGAAUUAUCGUGAAGUGGUUAGAAUAUGUAGUGUAGCGGUGAAAUGCAUAGAUAUUACAUAGAAUACCGAUUGCGAAGGCAGAUCACUAACGAUACAUUGACACUGAUGGACGAAAGCGGUGGGGAGCGGAACG
This 209-nucleotide ribosomal RNA is filed under the name uncultured bacterium. Its description in RNAcentral is "partial 16S ribosomal RNA". It matches the Rfam family "Bacterial small subunit ribosomal RNA", at positions 568 to 775 of the family's 1533-position model. The record is from RNAcentral.